RNAcentral lists this long non-coding RNA (324 nucleotides) under Carica papaya (papaya). RNAcentral describes it as "long non-coding RNA (CPAP_LNC013411)". Lineage: Eukaryota; Viridiplantae; Streptophyta; Magnoliopsida; Brassicales; Caricaceae. The record is from RNAcentral.
UUCUGCUCUUUCAGUCCGUGAUACCGACCGACACUUCUUCAUAAGACAAGUCCUCUUGGAGUGGAAGUGGUUCAUGAGCCAAGACAUGAGAAGGGUCCGGAUUGUACUUACGUAGCAUGGAUACGUGGAACACGUUGUGGACUCUGGAGAGCUCUGGAGGCAGUGCUAGUCUGUAGGCAGCAGUACCAAUCCUGUCUAAGAUUUCGAAGGGUCCAAUAUACCGGGGGUUUAAUUUUUCCCUCUUGUCGAACCUACUAAUUCCCUUGAAGGGAGUGACCUUAAGAAACACCCGGUCGCCUUUCUCAAACGCUAGGUCUCUCCUCC